GAGCAAUGAAGAGAACCGCUCUUUUGUGAAUGUUGGGUUCAUCUUUGUCUCUGAUCUUACGAUGGAAAACUACGCUUCUGAGCUC
Molecule: small nucleolar RNA, 85 nt
Organism: Gossypium arboreum
Lineage: Eukaryota; Viridiplantae; Streptophyta; Magnoliopsida; Malvales; Malvaceae
Rfam family: small nucleolar RNA snoR114
Source: Rfam